RNAcentral lists this ribosomal RNA (293 nucleotides) under uncultured bacterium. RNAcentral's name for it is "partial 16S ribosomal RNA". It matches the Rfam family "Bacterial small subunit ribosomal RNA", at positions 53 to 339 of the family's 1533-position model. The record is from RNAcentral.
ACAUGCAAGUCGAGGGGCAGCGCGGGGCAGCAAUGUUCUGGCGGCGACCGGCGGAAGGGUGCGUAACGCGUGAGCGACAUGCCCGUUGCCCGGGGGACAAACCGGUGGAAAACGCCGACUAAUCCCCCGAUGGGACGGAGGCCCUCAUGGGUCUCUGUUGAAAGUUACGGCGGCGACGGAUUGGCUCGCGUCCGAUUAGCUGGUUGGCGGGGUAACGGCCCACCAAGGCUACGAUCGGUAGGGGUUCUGAGAGGAAGGUCCCCACAAUGGAACUGAGACACGGUCCAUACUCC